RNAcentral lists this ribosomal RNA (429 nucleotides) under Actinomycetes bacterium. RNAcentral's name for it is "Actinobacteria bacterium partial 16S ribosomal RNA". It matches the Rfam family "Bacterial small subunit ribosomal RNA", at positions 355 to 776 of the family's 1533-position model. The record is from RNAcentral. Lineage: Bacteria; Bacillati; Actinomycetota; Actinomycetes.
UAGGGAAUCUUCCGCAAUGGGCGAAAGCCUGACGGAGCAACGCCGCGUGAGUGAUGAAGGUCUUCGGAUCGUAAAACUCUGUUAUUAGGGAAGAACAAAUGUGUAAGUAACUAUGCACGUCUUGACGGUACCUAAUCAGAAAGCCACGGCUAACUACGUGCCAGCAGCCGCGGUAAUACGUAGGUGGCAAGCGUUAUCCGGAAUUAUUGGGCGUAAAGCGCGCGUAGGCGGUUUUUUAAGUCUGAUGUGAAAGCCCACGGCUCAACCGUGGAGGGUCAUUGGAAACUGGAAAACUUGAGUUCAGAAGAGGAACGUGUCAUUCCAUGUGUAGCGGUGAAAUGCGCAAAGAUAUGGAGGAACACCAGUGGCGAAGGCGACUUUUUUGUCUGUAACUGACGCUGAUGUGCGAAAGCGUGUGGAUCAAACAGG